Long non-coding RNA from Brassica napus (rape), 725 nucleotides. RefSeq lists it as uncharacterized. Lineage: Eukaryota; Viridiplantae; Streptophyta; Magnoliopsida; Brassicales; Brassicaceae. The record is from RefSeq and is a predicted model, not a curated record. The transcript is spliced from 2 exons.
UAUUUUUCAGUGACAUUUGGAGCUUAAUAGUUGUGUGUAUUCGAGAUGAAAAUUGUGAAGGGAGAGAGACUAUACUUCACUUGGAUUCAGUUGAAGGAGAACAUACAAAAGAAUCAUUUGUUGACAAUGUCAAAAGGUUGUUAAUAAAAGAAUGGGAUCAGCAGAAGAAACAACACACUUCUUCUGUUGGUGAUCUACCACUCUUACAAAUGAUUAAUGCCCCAUAUGUAAAGGUAUAUCUUUUACUUUACCCUCAGAGUACUCUGAUUCAACUUUAAGUUCUUUUAAACGAUUUCUUAUGGAUUUAAAUAAUUAAACGCUAGAACCCAUGAAGAGUCAAAUUAUCUUAUGUAAAUCUUUUGUUCAACAAGUGUCCACAAAAACAAAAAUGCGGUCGAGUAUGGUGAAGAUGAAGUUGAUGGUGAAGAAGAGACACUCUCAAUAUGUAAGUUUUUUACUCAUAUAUAAACUUUUAUACAUAUCAAAAACAUGCGGGUUCACGCAAAGAGCGUCUCUGAUUUGAGAACCCAAAUAGGAAAACUUACAGAAGAUGAAGUUGAUGGUGAAGAAGAGACACUCUCAAUCGAUUGAAGAACAAGAAGUGUGAUUUGUUGUUUUGAUUUGGUGUUUGCAUUUUAUUUCUUUUUAGAAUUGACAGCUUUAAUUUGGUGUUAGGUUUUAUUUAAUUUCGGAUUCAGAAAAAUAAAGCUUUGGUUAUGAACUUA